ACUGUGUGUUGUUGGGUAGGGGAGCGUUCUGUAAGCCUGUGAAGGUGGCCUGUGAGGGUUGCUGGAGGUAUCAGAAGUGCGAAUGCUGACAUAAGUAACGAUAAAGCGGGUGAAAAGCCCGCUCGCCGGAAGACCAAGGGUUCCUGUCCAACGUUAAUCGGGGCAGGGUGAGUCGACCCCUAAGGCGAGGCCGAAAGGCGUAGUCGAUGGGAAACGGGUUAAUAUUCCCGUACUUGGUGUUACUGCGAAGGGGGGACGGAGAAGGCUAUGUUGGCCGGGCGACGGUUGUCCCGGUUUAAGCGUGUAGGUGUGUGUUCCAGGUAAAUCCGGUUCACUUUAACACUGAGGCGUGAUGACGAGGCACUACGGUGCUGAAGCAACAAAUGCCCUGCUUCCAGGAAAAGCCUCUAAGCAUCAGGUAACAUCAAAUCGUACCCCAAACCGACACAGGUGGUCAGGUAGAGAAUACCAAGGCGCUUGAGAGAACUCGGGUGAAGGAACUAGGCAAAAUGGUGCCGUAACUUCGGGAGAAGGCACGCUGACAUGUAGGUGAAGUGAUUUACUCAUGGAGCUGAAGUCAGUCGAAGAUACCAGCUGGCUGCAACUGUUUAUUAAAAACACAGCACUGUGCAAACACGAAAGUGGACGUAUACGGUGUGACGCCUGCCCGGUGCCGGAAGGUUAAUUGAUGGGGUCAGCGCAAGCGAAGCUCCUGAUCGAAGCCCCGGUAAACGGCGGCCGUAACUAUAACGGUCCUAAGGUAGCGAAAUUCCUUGUCGGGUAAGUUCCGACCUGCACGAAUGGCGUAAUGAUGGCCAGGCUGUCUCCACCCGAGACUCAGUGAAAUUGAACUCGCUGUGAAGAUGCAGUGUACCCGCGGCAAGACGGAAAGACCCCGUGAACCUUUACUAUAGCUUGACACUGAACAUUGAGCCUUGAUGUGUAG
RNAcentral lists this ribosomal RNA (946 nucleotides) under Salmonella enterica subsp. enterica serovar Derby. Its description in RNAcentral is "partial 23S ribosomal RNA". It matches the Rfam family "Bacterial large subunit ribosomal RNA", at positions 1213 to 2141 of the family's 2925-position model. The record is from RNAcentral. Lineage: Bacteria; Pseudomonadati; Pseudomonadota; Gammaproteobacteria; Enterobacterales; Enterobacteriaceae. RNAcentral also lists the same sequence under 2 other names.